This 459-nucleotide ribosomal RNA is filed under the name uncultured Treponema sp. RNAcentral's name for it is "partial 16S ribosomal RNA". It matches the Rfam family "Bacterial small subunit ribosomal RNA", at positions 341 to 792 of the family's 1533-position model. Lineage: Bacteria; Pseudomonadati; Spirochaetota; Spirochaetia; Treponematales; Treponemataceae. The record is from RNAcentral.
ACGGAAGGCAGCAGCUAAGAAUAUUUCGCAAUGGACGAAAGUCUGACGGAGCGACGCCGCGUGGAUGAUGAAGGUCGGAAGAUUGUAAAAUCCUUUUGAGUGUGAAGAAUAAGUGCAUCAGAGAAAGGUAGUAUGGUGACUGUAGGUUAUGAAUAAGCAACGGCUAAUUACGUGCCAGCAGCCGCGGUAACACGUAAGUUGCGAGCGUUGUUCGGAAUUAUUGGGCGUAAAGGGCAUGUAGGCGGUUUUGCAAGCUUGGUGUGAAAUCCCGGAGCUCAACUCCGGAAUUGCGUUGAGAACUGCAUAACUAGAGUCACUGAGGGGCAAUCAGAAUUCCAGGUGUAGGGGUGAAAUCUGUAGAUAUCUGGAAGAAUACCAAUGGCGAAGGCAGGUUACCAGCAGAUGACUGACGCUGAGGUGCGAAGGUGCGGGGAGCAAACAGGAUUAGAUACCCUGGUA